AACACAAAUUACCUGCUCUCCCAGUGAUCAGUCACGUGCAAAAAGCUUUGUCCAAUUCUUUGAAAAGGUGAGAUUUUUUUUUUUCUUUUUGCGGUUUUUGAAGUUUGGUUGAAUUUAGAAAUUCGAAGGAAUAAACUAAGAGCCUGAAUUAAAUGUUUUGAAAUAUACAUACAUAAAACAAAAGACACUAGUAUUUCUUUCACUUUUAUCAAUACGCAUAGAGAAGGAAGCAGAGUAUGUGUUUCCAAAACGUGACUUGGAAAGCUGUAAGACCUCUAUGUCUUGUUGUUGUUGUUGUUGUUGUUGUUAACAGAAGUAAAUUUUUUCAGACCCACCACCACAGAAGUGGCCAGACUCCCAAACCAGCAUUUCCAGCUACUGGCUGGCUGGUGUACACCAGGCCAAUUCUUUAUGAGAAUAUAUUAAAAGUCACCCCUGUGGAUUCCUACAAAGUACUUCCCCUUGCGGGGAGGGGAGAGGCUUACUGUCCCUUUGGUCUUGAGACCAGCACAGUUGUAGAUAAUAUCCUGAAAAGGUUAUUAUUAAAUUCUUUCGCGUAAUGCCCCUUUACAAAUAUUGUUAAACAUUAAUUUACAGAAGAACUUAAAUCUUAAUUUCAAGGGUGGCAUAAGACUAUCGCUUUGAAAUUGUAUCUUUCGCAAGUUAAAAAAAAAAAAUAACAAAGCCAUUCGCUGAUGCUACAGAAUAAAAGAAAGGGAGGCUGCUAAGGUAAUUUCAGCCUGGUAGAAUUCACAUUGCAUGCAUGCUGCAUAAAGUUCCAUGCUAUCCAGAUAAGACUAUUCACUGAAUCUUUUAGACUAGAAUCUAGACCAAUAAAAUGCAUUUUAGUUUGUAUGGAAUGUCCUAGCUUCCUAGAGGCUAGGGUUCGACGUCUUGUUUGUCAAGACAUAAAGGGAUUAAUGACAUACCCACUGUGUGCUAGACCACAGAGUGGGCACAGAGGGAUGAAAAAAUAAAAAUUCCUGCCCUUGAGGAGCUCACAGUCUAAGCUGUCAAUAAUAACAUCUAACAUUUAUUAAAUACUAUGAUCUAGGCACUGAACUAAAAGCUUUAUGUCAACUCAGUUAAUACUGCCAACAACUCUUUGACAUCACUGGAAAUUCCAUAUGCUGAAUUCACACGGAAUUAAGUGGAAAUCUACAAAGUAGCCAGUCUACUGGUUCUGUAGUGGUCAACCUAUUAAAAAUGGUUUUUAAUUUCUAAAGUACUUUAUGCCAAAUAUAACAUGUUUAUGGUAUAUGCCUGACUGUAGAAUUAUAACUCAGGGGAAUAACGACUUAUUUAAAUGUAACAGAUCUAUUCAUAGUCUGUAAAGAACAAUUCAUCCUCUGAUCUUGUUUUUCAGAUUAAGCAGUGUGUUUAUUAAAAAUUAUUAUCAUCGCAAUACUAAAAAGAUCUUUAGAUUGCUGCUAAUCUGAUUCUGCAUUUUAACUGCCUUAAAUUCUACAUUCACUUGCAAGUGGGGGCCACAGUCAGGUUGGCAACAAGUUUUGCAGACAAAAGGAAAUCCUGGUUGUAAAUCCCAUGAUAUAUUGUACUCAAUUUUGUAUGAUACUGUCUAAUGUGCUGUGCUGCCUUAUUAAAGAACUCGAUGUCCAUUUGGUUUACAUUAGAGGGAAACUUAACUGCAGCUUAACAUAUUGUUCAUUUUCAACACUGUCACGUUACAUUCGUGGGGGGCAGAUUUUAAUUUCUUUAUCAGUAAUCAACUGGAAGUUUCUUUUUGUUAAAUUAAAGCAAGAAAGGUUUUAAAAUAAAGGGCAUGGGGGUAGGACGCCACCUUUUGGUGAUAAAACAAAUAGAAAUCCCUUCUGAAAACAGAUGUUCCUGACAUAAUUUUAUUUUUAAUUACACCAAGGCAAAGGUGCUUGUCCCCAUUUCGUUAUAUUUUAAGUAACAGGAGAAAAAAAAAACCAAUGUAAAUGCAAAAUUAGCAAAUUAUAGUUAACUGCAGCCAAAAUUUUCCCAAACGUAUCAGAAUAUGUUAGUCCCCUGUCACAUUACUGUUGAUUGUAUACACCAAACAUGAGCUUCAUUCACCAAAUACCAUGUCACUAAAUAUAUGUACAUUUGGGGAACAGAAACUGGAGUGGACAUUUACCACCUGACGACGUACCUGAAUGCUCUUGUAAGUUUUGAGUUGAACAAAAACUAAAACCACUUAAUUUAGUGUUUCUUUAACCACAGUUACUGGUGUCCUGAUUUUUGCCAUAUCUAUAUGACAUAACAGUUCCCGAAUAAUUAAUAUACCAUACUCAUUGGAGGCCACUUAUUAUGGUAAUUGUAGCAAACAUUUUCAUUUAAAUCAACCUUCUUUUAAUUUUUUUCUAUUACUGCCUUAAAUGGGAAAUCAGUAUCACCCACCAUAAAUUAAAAACAAGCACAGUAAAAACAAAGUCACUGAUUUCUCUUUGAGGGUCAAAACAAAAAUUAAAAAUGAUUUUUG
This is a long non-coding RNA of Homo sapiens (human), 2467 nucleotides long. Ensembl annotates it as FOXP1 divergent transcript. Its record names the gene FOXP1-DT. Lineage: Eukaryota; Metazoa; Chordata; Mammalia; Primates; Hominidae. The record is from Ensembl.